AGUUUGAUCCUGGCUCAGAUUGAACGCUGGCGGCAUGCUUUACACAUGCAAGUCGAACGGCAGCGCGGGGCAACCUGGCGGCGAGUGGCGAACGGGUGAGUAAUAUAUCGGAACGUACCCAAGAGUGGGGGAUAACGUAGCGGAAGUUACGCUAAUACCGCAUACGAUCUACGGAUGAAAGUGGGGGAUUCGCAAGAACCUCAUGCUCCUGGAGCGGCCGAUAUCUGAUUAGCUAGUUGGUGAGGUAAAGGCUCACCAAGGCGACGAUCAGUAGCUGGUCUGAGAGGACGACCAGCCACACUGGAACUGAGACACGGUCCAGACUCCUACGGGAGGCAGCAGUGGGGAAUAUUGGACAAUGGGCGAAAGCCUGAUCCAGCCAUGCCGCGUGUGUGAAGAAGGUCUUCGGAUUGUAAAGCACUUUAAGUUGGGAGGAAGGGUUGUAGAUUAAUACUCUGCAAUUUUGACGUUACCGACAGAAUAAGCACCGGCUAACUCUGUGCCAGCAGCCGCGGUAA
RNAcentral lists this ribosomal RNA (518 nucleotides) under uncultured bacterium. Its description in RNAcentral is "bacterial SSU rRNA". It matches the Rfam family "Bacterial small subunit ribosomal RNA", at positions 10 to 523 of the family's 1533-position model. The record is from RNAcentral.